UGGGGAAUCUUGCGCAAUGGGGGCAACCCUGACGCAGCGACGCCGCGUGCGGGACGAAGGCCUUCGGGUCGUAAACCGCUUUCAGCAGGGACGAGGCCGAGAGGUGACGGUACCUGCAGAAGAAGCCCCGGCUAACUACGUGCCAGCAGCCGCGGUAAUACGUAGGGGGCGAGCGUUAUCCGGAUUCAUUGGGCGUAAAGCGCUCGUAGGCUGCCCGCUAGGUCCGGGGUCAAAUCCGGGGGCUCAACCCCCGCACGCCCCGGAUACCGGCGGGCUUGAGUCGGGUAGGGGAAGGCGGAAUUCCAGGUGUAGCGGUGGAAUGCGCAGAUAUCUGGAAGAACACCGGUGGCGAAGGCGGCCUUCUGGACUGUAACUGACGCUGAGGCUCGAAAGCGUGGGGAGCGAACAGGAUUAGAUACCCUGGUAGU
RNAcentral lists this ribosomal RNA (428 nucleotides) under uncultured Coriobacteriaceae bacterium. Its description in RNAcentral is "bacterial SSU rRNA". It matches the Rfam family "Bacterial small subunit ribosomal RNA", at positions 355 to 794 of the family's 1533-position model. Lineage: Bacteria; Bacillati; Actinomycetota; Coriobacteriia; Coriobacteriales; Coriobacteriaceae. The record is from RNAcentral.